UUUACGGAGAGUUUGAUCCUGGCUCAGGAUGAACGCUGGCGGCGUGCUUAACACAUGCAAGUCGAACGGUGAAGCAGAGCUUGCUCUGUGGAUCAGUGGCGAACGGGUGAGUAACACGUGAGCAAUCUGCCCCUGACUCUGGGAUAAGCGCUGGAAACGGCGUCUAAUACCGGAUACGAGCUGCGACCGCAUGGUCAGUAGCUGGAAAGAAUUUCGGUCAGGGAUGAGCUCGCGGCCUAUCAGCUUGUUGGUGAGGUAAUGGCUCACCAAGGCGUCGACGGGUAGCCGGCCUGAGAGGGUGACCGGCCACACUGGGACUGAGACACGGCCCAGACUCCUACGGGAGGCAGCAGUGGGGAAUAUUGCACAAUGGGCGCAAGCCUGAUGCAGCAACGCCGCGUGAGGGAUGACGGCCUUCGGGUUGUAAACCUCUUUUAGCAGGGAAGAAGCGAAAGUGACGGUACCUGCAGAAAAAGCGCCGGCUAACUACGUGCCAGCAGCCGCGGUAAUACGUAGGGCGCAAGCGUUAUCCGGAAUUAUUGGGCGUAAAGAGCUCGUAGGCGGUCUGUCGCGUCUGCUGUGAAAACCCGAGGCUCAACCUCGGGCCUGCAGUGGGUACGGGCAGACUAGAGUGCGGUAGGGGAGAUUGGAAUUCCUGGUGUAGCGGUGGAAUGCGCAGAUAUCAGGAGGAACACCGAUGGCGAAGGCAGAUCUCUGGGCCGUAACUGACGCUGAGGAGCGAAAGGGUGGGGAGCAAACAGGCUUAGAUACCCUGGUAGUCCACCCCGUAAACGUUGGGAACUAGUUGUGGGGUCCAUUCCACGGAUUCCGUGACGCAGCUAACGCAUUAAGUUCCCCGCCUGGGGAGUACGGCCGCAAGGCUAAAACUCAAAGGAAUUGACGGGGACCCGCACAAGCGGCGGAGCAUGCGGAUUAAUUCGAUGCAACGCGAAGAACCUUACCAAGGCUUGACAUAUAGAGGAAACGUCUGGAAACAGUCGCCCCGCAAGGUCUCUAUACAGGUGGUGCAUGGUUGUCGUCAGCUCGUGUCGUGAGAUGUUGGGUUAAGUCCCGCAACGAGCGCAACCCUCGUUCUAUGUUGCCAGCACGUAAUGGUGGGAACUCAUGGGAUACUGCCGGGGUCAACUCGGAGGAAGGUGGGGAUGACGUCAAAUCAUCAUGCCCCUUAUGUCUUGGGCUUCACGCAUGCUACAAUGGCCGGUACAAAGGGCUGCAAUACCGUGAGGUGGAGCGAAUCCCAAAAAGCCGGUCCCAGUUCGGAUUGAGGUCUGCAACUCGACCUCAUGAAGUCGGAGUCGCUAGUAAUCGCAGAUCAGCAUCGCUGCGGUGAAUACGUUCCCGGGUCUUGUACACACCGCCCGUCAAGUCAUGAAAGUCGGUAACACCUGAAGCCGGUGGCCCAACCCUUGUGGAGGGAGCCGUCGAAGGUGGGAUCGGUAAUUAGGACUAAGUCGUAACAAGGUAGCCGUACCGGAAGGUGCGGCUGGAUCACCUCCUUU
RNAcentral lists this ribosomal RNA (1520 nucleotides) under Microbacterium arborescens. RNAcentral's name for it is "bacterial SSU rRNA". It matches the Rfam family "Bacterial small subunit ribosomal RNA". The record is from RNAcentral. Lineage: Bacteria; Bacillati; Actinomycetota; Actinomycetes; Micrococcales; Microbacteriaceae.